Molecule: non-coding RNA, 21 nt
Filed under: Caenorhabditis elegans
Lineage: Eukaryota; Metazoa; Nematoda; Chromadorea; Rhabditida; Rhabditidae
Source: RNAcentral
UGUCCAUUUGAACUUUAAUCC